This 163-nucleotide ribosomal RNA is filed under the name uncultured bacterium. RNAcentral's name for it is "partial 16S ribosomal RNA". It matches the Rfam family "Bacterial small subunit ribosomal RNA", at positions 358 to 511 of the family's 1533-position model. The record is from RNAcentral.
GGAAUCUUCCACAAUGGACGAAAGUCUGAUGGAGCAACACCGCGUGAGUGAAGAAGGGUUUCGGCUCGUAAAAGCUCUGUUAGUUAAAGAAGAACACGUAUGAGAGUAACUGUUCAUACGUUGACGGUAUUUAACCAGAAAGUCACGGCUAACUACGCGCCAG